Molecule: ribosomal RNA, 373 nt
Filed under: uncultured bacterium
Lineage: Bacteria
Description: bacterial SSU rRNA
Rfam family: Bacterial small subunit ribosomal RNA
Source: RNAcentral
ACAGAGGAUGCAAGCGUUAUCCGGAAUGAUUGGGCGUAAAGCGUCUGUAGGUGGCUUAAAAAGUCUCCUGUCAAAGAUCAGGGCUUAACCCUGGGCCGGCAGGAGAAACUCUUAGGCUAGAGUUUGGUAGGGGCAGAGGGAAUUCCCGGUGGAGCGGUGAAAUGCGUAGAGAUCGGGAGGAACACCAAAGGCGAAAGCACUCUGCUGGGCCAUAACUGACACUGAGAGACGAAAGCGAGGGGAGCAAAAGGGAUUAGAUACCCCUGUAGUCCUCGCCGUAAACGAUGGAUACUAGAUGUUGGAUAGGUUAAAUCAUUCAGUAUCGUAGCUAACGCGUGAAGUAUCCCGCCUGGGGAGUAUGCUCGCAAGAGUG